AAUAUUACAUUUUCUUACUAUUAUUAGUUUAUUACUAUUGAAUAUGGACUUGAGUUUUGAUUUUUUUAUUCUAUUAAAUUUGAAUAAAAGCAUAGACUUAAAAAAAAUAUAUAGACUUGACAAAAGUAUGCCAACAGCUUAGUAUGUGCUCUUUAAAAAAAAUAAAAAAGCUUAGUGGGCUUUUUUUCUUAGGCAUGGCACGGCACGUGUGGGCACGGACGAAUGGGGAUGGCAUGUGUACCGGCCCAGGCCUAAGCAAAAACAUUUAGGCACGGCAUAGGCACAAGCACCGCAUGGGCCUUGCUUUGCUGGCCCGGCCCAUUGGCCAUCUCUAAGCCUGUAGAGCCACUGAUUUUAAACGGACCAUAACUUGGCCAUAUGAUGUCAGAUUUGGGCUCAUAAUAAACCGUUUCAAGUCUCUUGAUGUAAAGAAUGCA
This 437-nucleotide long non-coding RNA is filed under the name Citrus x clementina. RNAcentral's name for it is "Citrus clementina (C. clementina) long non-coding RNA (CCLE_LNC005438)". The record is from RNAcentral. Lineage: Eukaryota; Viridiplantae; Streptophyta; Magnoliopsida; Sapindales; Rutaceae.